This 253-nucleotide ribosomal RNA is filed under the name uncultured bacterium. Its description in RNAcentral is "partial 16S ribosomal RNA". It matches the Rfam family "Bacterial small subunit ribosomal RNA", at positions 524 to 776 of the family's 1533-position model. The record is from RNAcentral.
UACAGAGGGGGCAAGCGUUGUUCGGAAUUACUGGGCGUAAAGGGCGCGUAGGCGGCCUUCUAAGUCGAACGUGAAAUCCCCGGGCUCAACCCGGGAACUGCAUUGGUGACUGCAUCGCUCGAGUAUGGCAGAGGGGGGUAGAAUUCCACGUGUAGCAGUGAAAUGCGUAGAGAUGUGGAGGAAUACCGAUGGCGAAGGCAGCCCCCUGGGUCAAUACUGACGCUCAUGCACGAAAGCGUGGGGAGCAAACAGG